Molecule: ribosomal RNA, 952 nt
Filed under: Bacillus cereus
Lineage: Bacteria; Bacillati; Bacillota; Bacilli; Caryophanales; Bacillaceae
Description: bacterial SSU rRNA
Rfam family: Bacterial small subunit ribosomal RNA
Source: RNAcentral
GUCGAGCGAAUGGAUUAAGAGCUUGCUCUUGUGAAGUUAGCGGCGGACGGGUGAGUAACACGUGGGUAACCUGCCCAUAAGACUGGGAUAACUCCGGGAAACCGGGGCUAAUACCGGAUAACAUUUUGAACCGCAUGGUUCGAAAUUGAAAGGCGGCUUCGGCUGUCACUUAUGGAUGGACCCGCGUCGCAUUAGCUAGUUGGUGAGGUAACGGCUCACCAAGGCAACGAUGCGUACCCCACCUGAGAGGGUGAUCGGCCACACUGGGACUGAGACACGGCCCAGACUCCUACGGGAGGCAGCAGUAGGGAAUCUUCCGCAAUGGACGAAAGUCUGACGGAGCAACGCCGCGUGAGUGAUGAAGGCUUUCGGGUCGUAAAACUCUGUUGUUAGGGAAGAACAAGUGCUAGUUGAAUAAGCUGGCACCUUGACGGUACCUAACCAGAAAGCCACGGCUAACUACGUGCCAGCAGCCGCGGUAAUACGUAGGUGGCAAGCGUUAUCCGGAAUUAUUGGGCGUAAAGCGCGCGCAGGUGGUUUCUUAAGUCUGAUGUGAAAGCCCACGGCUCAACCGUGGAGGGUCAUUGGAAACUGGGAGACUUGAGUGCAGAAGAAGAAAGUGGAAUUCCAUGUGUAGCGGUGAAAUGCGUAGAGAUGUGGAGGAACACCAGUGGCGAACGCGACUUUCUGGUCUGUAACUGACACUGAAGCGCGAAAGCGUGGGGAGCAAACAAGAUUAGAUACCCUGGUAGUCCACGCCGUACACGAUGAGUGCUAAGUGUUAGAGGGUUUCCGCCCUUUAGUGCUGAAGUUAACGCAUUAAGCACUCCGCCUGGAGAGUACGGCCGCAAGGCUGAAACUCAAAGGAAUUGACGGGGGCCCGCACAAGCGGUGGAACAUGUGGUUUUAAUUCAAAGCAACGCGAAGAACCUUACCAGGUCUUGACAUCCUC